Molecule: ribosomal RNA, 759 nt
Filed under: uncultured Pseudomonadota bacterium
Lineage: Bacteria; Pseudomonadati; Pseudomonadota
Also listed under: 1 other name
Description: bacterial SSU rRNA
Rfam family: Bacterial small subunit ribosomal RNA
Source: RNAcentral
AUUGAACGCUGGCGGCAGGCCUAACACAUGCAAGUCGAACGGUAACAGGAAGCAGCUUGCUGCUUCGCUGACGAGUGGCGGACGGGUGAGUAAUGUCUGGGAAGCUGCCUGAUGGAGGGGGAUAACUACUGGAAACGGUAGCUAAUACCGCAUAAUGUCGCAAGACCAAAGAGGGGGACCUUCGGGCCUCUUGCCAUCGGAUGUGCCCAGAUGGGAUUAGCUUGUUGGUGGGGUAACGGCUCACCAAGGCGACGAUCCCUAGCUGGUCUGAGAGGAUGACCAGCCACACUGGAACUGAGACACGGUCCAGACUCCUACGGGAGGCAGCAGUGGGGAAUAUUGCACAAUGGGCGCAAGCCUGAUGCAGCCAUGCCGCGUGUAUGAAGAAGGCCUUCGGGUUGUAAAGUACUUUCAGCGGGGAGGAAGGGAGUAAAGUUAAUACCUUUGCUCAUUGACGUUACCCGCAGAAGAAGCACCGGCUAACUCCGUGCCAGCAGCCGCGGUAAUACGGAGGGUGCAAGCGUUAAUCGGAAUUACUGGGCGUAAAGCGCACGCAGGCGGUUUGUUAAGUCAGAUGUGAAAUCCCCGGGCUCAACCUGGGAACUGCAUCUGAUACUGGCAAGCUUGAGUCUCGUAGAGGGGGGUAGAAUUCCAGGUGUAGCGGUGAAAUGCGUAGAGAUCUGGAGGAAUACCGGUGGCGAAGGCGGCCCCCUGGACGAAGACUGACGCUCAGGUGCGAAAGCGUGGGGAGCAAACAGG